RNAcentral lists this ribosomal RNA (253 nucleotides) under uncultured bacterium. RNAcentral describes it as "partial 16S ribosomal RNA". It matches the Rfam family "Bacterial small subunit ribosomal RNA", at positions 524 to 776 of the family's 1533-position model. The record is from RNAcentral.
UACGCAGGGUGCAAGCGUUACUCGGAAUUACUGGGCGUAAAGCGUGCGUAGGUGGUUUGUUAAGUCUGAUGUGAAAGCCCUGGGCUCAACCUGGGAAUUGCAUUGGAUACUGGCAAGCUAGAGUGCGGUAGAGGAUGGCGGAAUUCCCGGUGUAGCAGUGAAAUGCGUAGAGAUCGGGAGGAACAUCUGUGGCGAAGGCGGCCAUCUGGACCAGCACUGACACUGAGGCACGAAAGCGUGGGGAGCAAACAGG